This 721-nucleotide ribosomal RNA is filed under the name Escherichia coli. Its description in RNAcentral is "partial 23S ribosomal RNA". It matches the Rfam family "Bacterial large subunit ribosomal RNA", at positions 2180 to 2895 of the family's 2925-position model. Lineage: Bacteria; Pseudomonadati; Pseudomonadota; Gammaproteobacteria; Enterobacterales; Enterobacteriaceae. The record is from RNAcentral.
AUGGAGCCGACCUUGAAAUACCACCCUUUAAUGUUUGAUGUUCUAACGUUGACCCGUAAUCCGGGUUGCGGACAGUGUCUGGUGGGUAGUUUGACUGGGGCGGUCUCCUCCUAAAGAGUAACGGAGGAGCACGAAGGUUGGCUAAUCCUGGUCGGACAUCAGGAGGUUAGUGCAAUGGCAUAAGCCAGCUUGACUGCGAGCGUGACGGCGCGAGCAGGUGCGAAAGCAGGUCAUAGUGAUCCGGUGGUUCUGAAUGGAAGGGCCAUCGCUCAACGGAUAAAAGGUACUCCGGGGAUAACAGGCUGAUACCGCCCAAGAGUUCAUAUCGACGGCGGUGUUUGGCACCUCGAUGUCGGCUCAUCACAUCCUGGGGCUGAAGUAGGUCCCAAGGGUAUGGCUGUUCGCCAUUUAAAGUGGUACGCGAGCUGGGUUUAGAACGUCGUGAGACAGUUCGGUCCCUAUCUGCCGUGGGCGCUGGAGAACUGAGGGGGGCUGCUCCUAGUACGAGAGGACCGGAGUGGACGCAUCACUGGUGUUCGGGUUGUCAUGCCAAUGGCACUGCCCGGUAGCUAAAUGCGGAAGAGAUAAGUGCUGAAAGCAUCUAAGCACGAAACUUGCCCCGAGAUGAGUUCUCCCUGACCCUUUAAGGGUCCUGAAGGAACGUUGAAGACGACGACGUUGAUAGGCCGGGUGUGUAAGCGCAGCGAUGCGUUGAGCUAAC